This 73-nucleotide transfer RNA is filed under the name Candidatus Omnitrophota bacterium. Its description in RNAcentral is "Candidatus Omnitrophica bacterium tRNA-Arg". It matches the Rfam family "tRNA". From Rfam's summary of the family: Transfer RNA (tRNA) molecules are approximately 80 nucleotides in length. Lineage: Bacteria; Pseudomonadati; Candidatus Omnitrophota. The record is from RNAcentral.
GCGCCUGUAGCUCAAGGGAUAGAGCAUCUGCCUUCUAAGCAGAGGGUUGCCCGUUCGAAUCGGGCCAGGCGUA